Rosa chinensis is the source of this 1803-nucleotide RNA transcript. It is a transcript of the gene named RNA polymerase II subunit 5-mediating protein homolog, with no coding region annotated. The transcript is spliced from 3 exons. NCBI's taxonomy places the organism in Eukaryota, Viridiplantae, Streptophyta, Magnoliopsida, Rosales, Rosaceae. The record is from RefSeq and is a predicted model, not a curated record.
UCUUCUGAGAUCCUAAUGCCAUUAUGUAUCUUAAAGCUCCACCACAUAAGUAUGUUAAUGUUUUUAAUUACUGACAGUCAUAUGUAUCCAAAUUCUAAUUUCAUUUGAGUUUAUAUCUGCAUGGCUAGCCUUUCAUGUGUGAAUUGUCCUCUGAAGCAUAUGCUUGGAAGUGUUGACCAGCCUAUUUGCAAUUCUGUAAAUUCCUGCGUAGUUGUAAAAUGUAAUACUUGAUAUGAUACGUGGGUGCUGCAUUUGAUUUAUUUUGUAGUUCUGCUCUUUACUAUCUGGUCUUUGUUCAAAGAAAGACCUCCAGCAUUGAGUUUAUUGAUUUCUAUAUACAAUCGUCAAUAUGACAGGGAAAGAGCAGAAAACAAGCACGAAAACCUCAGAAAGCUGCUCCUCCAAACAAAGCAGUCAAAAUUUCUACUGAGAUGGAUGAUAGAAAGGGUUGCAUUUCCUCAGUUUUGGAGAUUGUGGCGUUUUGUUCAUGCAGAGGCCAAGUUCAAAAAUCAACUAUGAGGCCUUGAAGAAAUUAAAUGAAGAGGAUGGUAAACAUGCAGCUGACUUUGAAGAAGGCAGCCAUGGUGAUAUGCAGCACUCAAAUGACAAAUUCGACGGUGAAGCACAAAGUUUUAGAGGCAGUUAUGAUGAUGAGUUGGAUAAUGAACAUGCAUAUAGUGAAGAUGCUGAAGGCAGACAAGGCUAUGAAGACGAAGAUACAUAUUUUCCAAAUGAUGGUUAUAAUGAAUAUGGCUGUGAGGAUGAGUAUUGUUUUGACGACUUCUGACACUCUCUGUUUGUAAUGAUUCAAUGUUAUCUUUCUUUCAUGGUUGAGUUGCAUAAUGUAAUGACCUUAAAGCAAUUUUCUCCUGUGCUUUUGAUAAAUUGUUGAGAUGCAUCGGGAUUGUAUCAGUCUAAAGAGAAACUCAUUUGAGCAUUGUUUCUAUAUUGAAGUAUAAGAAAGAAAAAUGAGCACAAUUCUAUAGGGAAACUGAUAGGUUCAUAAUUUCAUACAUUUUUAUACCCUUAAAUGUAGGAUUCUAGGCUUACUUCUUAUCAUUUUUGAGUCAUUUACUUUGUGUUUGUGUUUUGUAGGUUAAAUUGGAGAAAAGAAAGAUUUGGAGCUUAAAAUCAAACGCAGGACUGAAAGGGUGCUUGCUAUCCUAAGUGUCCAGAAUUGUCUCUGUUUUGCGUCAACUUCACAGAUUAAACUGUACCUUCUAAGGAGGAAUUAGCAGGCAAGCCUUAUACCAUUGGAAAGAUAUGAAUGUUAGCUUUCUGAGGAAUUUUAAGGAAGUGGAUUCGCAUUUUUCUGGAGGAAUUUAUGAUGAUUUAAGUGAACCUAGUUCGGGAAGGCAGAUUCUGACGGAUUUUGCAUAUCUUUUGGGAAUCUGACUUGUGAGGCCCAAGUCCGUUGUUCUUAGCACUUGAAUGGAACAAGGCUGAACGUGUUUGACAUAUUUGGAGUAAUUUCUUGCAUUGACUUUAGUAACCCUGCGUUUCUUUGGAGAGAAGAAAUCUAUUCCAAGUUGGACUAGAAGACCGAAGAAGCCCAAGUCAAGUAGGGAUUGGGAGGGACAUACAAAGCAGAAAGCCUAGCACGUCUAGAGACACAAGAAGCAGCAUACUCCGCAAAGAACUAGGAGAAGAGAAGCUCUCACCAUCGCUGGACCCGAGUUCCUCAAUUCUUCCAUUGUUUGUUUCAUGUUUUCUUUGAUUCUAGUCAUGUUUUUCAUAGUUAUGGAUUGCUAAACUUCUAAGCUAGGGCUGAGAUGAAGCCCCUAGUAUGACUAUUCUAUUAUU